Molecule: long non-coding RNA, 1268 nt
Organism: Manis javanica (Malayan pangolin)
Lineage: Eukaryota; Metazoa; Chordata; Mammalia; Pholidota; Manidae
Source: RefSeq, a predicted model, not a curated record
GCACUGCGACUCCGUGCCAGGAAGGAAAGGGUGGGCGUCAUCAGACGGUCCACGAUGCUGCUCUCCCAUGCGCUCAGCUGCAGGCUGCGAUCUAGAGGGACAAUACCAGAAGGCGGUUACCGCAGAAGGCCACAGUAGGCAGAGGCAUAGGGAGACCUCCAGGUGCCAAGCCCAACGAGUUUCUCCCAGGAGGACUCUCCUUCCAAUCAUGUGGGGCCACACUUAUCUGCCCUGGGGUCUGACCUCCACUGCAGACCCAGGCAAUAAGACACUUCCCAGGGCAAUGUGUACAUUGCUUGAGGGUGCCCUCCUACCACUCUCCCAGGUGAAAGGUCUCUGAACUUUGACAGGAACAAAGAAGGCUAAUCUAAAAUGACAGAGGUUUGAGGAGCAAGCCCAAUGAAGAGAAUCUGCCUCCGACUUGGUGGUGGACGUCCUUGGGAAGGGACACCAUGGUUUACAGAUCACUCCAGAAGACACGCCCCAACCUUGCCCAGCCACCCACCAGCCCCUCCAGCCCACUCACUGGUCUUACGUCCUGGGGAGCUGUGGUGCAGGGCCCCUGCCCAAGACCAACGCUGCUGCCGGAUUUCAGCCCACGUCUUCUUCACUGACCGCUGGAUAGCUGCUUCAUAGCGCUCCUGAAGGAGAAAGGGGAGAGGAGAGAGAAGACAUCAAAAUGCCGUGUAAGGACGCCACAUGAUUUGCCUCCCCCUAGACUGUGAGGAAGCCCUACAAGGACUGGGCCAUGUCUGCUUUCUUGCUGCUGCAUCACGAGCAGCUACCACAGUGCCAAGUACAUGGAAACGGUCAUGAAAUGCUGUUGCAUGAGAAUAAAGCGCUGUACUCAGAAGGCACUGUGGCCUAAAACAGGGUGUAGAGAAGGAGAUUUUUACUUGAAUAAAGAGAAAUCCAUGUGGCAAUUUACUGCAAAUGAAUAAACACUUCAAGAGAAGCAAAACAACUCCAUCUCAAUUGAGUCUGAGCAGCUUCCUGGACUAAGGCAUUCAGGUAGAAGUUAACAGAGCUAAUAGUGAGUGUUUACUCCAGUGGCUCAGCAACAAAGACUUCUCAGGAGGCACACAGCACAUCUGGAGCUCUUCUUCUGACCUGGUGGACCAUUGAACCUGAGUACAGAUAUUUUCCUGAGAAUGAUGCAACUCUGACGAAAUGUCAUUGGGACAGUGUUAUCCAGGACAAAUUGUAUUAAGCCAAAUUAAUUCCUUGGUUAAUUAUCUAUAUAAUACAGUGAAGCCAAUUUCUGAUUA